GGUUCGAUCAUGGCUCAGAUUGAACGCUGGCGGGAUGCUUUACACGCAAGUCGAACGGCAGCACGGACUUCGGUCUGGUGGCGAGUGGCGAACGGGUGAGUAAUGUAUCGGAACGUGCCUAGUAGCGGGGGAUAACUACGCGAAAGCGUAGCUAAUACCGCAAUACGCCCUUCAGGAAAGCGGGGGACCUUCGGGCCUCGCACUAUUAGAGCGG
RNAcentral lists this unclassified non-coding RNA (214 nucleotides) under uncultured Bordetella sp. RNAcentral's name for it is "partial 16S-23S ribosomal RNA intergenic spacer". It matches the Rfam family "Bacterial small subunit ribosomal RNA", at positions 10 to 229 of the family's 1533-position model. Lineage: Bacteria; Pseudomonadati; Pseudomonadota; Betaproteobacteria; Burkholderiales; Alcaligenaceae. The record is from RNAcentral.